CAGCGUGGUUUUUUUUCAUUCCCCUCCCCCCCUGGUUGUUAAUUGUUUUUUUACCGGAUUAUCGCGUAUAGAUAGGAAAAUGAAGUUUUCCCGAAAUCAAAUUUCAUCUAACUGUUCCGUCGAGACGAUCAUUUUUCGAUAUUCUGUGUAGUUUUCCUCUAAUAAUAAUAAUAAUUAUUACUAUUAUAUUAUUAUAAUUAUUGACAAAUGACCCAGACGAAAACGUAAGAGAAUCGGCAAAACGCACGGCAACAACGAUACUGUUUUUUUUUUUUUUUUUAAUUGUAAUUCGAUGUUAAAAAUAAUCCCGGAGGCUUAAAACGUUCGCAGAUUGCUUAUGAUAAUAUAUUAUCAUUUCGCGAAACGCGGUAAAAUGUUCAAAAUACGCGGAUGGUUUUUGAGCUGUUGUAGGCGUUAUUUGAUACGUUUGGUGUUACAACGUAUAAAAUUGCCCCUCGGUCUUUUUUGGUAUUUACGAGCACAAUAUUAUUUUGGCGGAUCAGUAAUGCUUAAACAAUCCAACAAACGAGUUGUAUAAUAAUAAGUGUUGUAAUAAACGAUAAAAAAAACUAAUAAAAAUAGACGGACAUAUUUCGCACGAUUGGUGUGGGGCCUCCGUUGUAGAUGAAAAGUUGGAAACGAUUAAGCGUUGCUAACGAAAAACGAUUCUGAGCGGAGUUCGGUUACACGUGUUUUGAAAGGCCGUAGUAUUUACGAAUUGAAAAUAAUUUGACCGUUUUUCCUAAACGUUAUUUCCCCGGUUUUCCGUAUAUAUUACGAUACCCCCGGAGAAAUCUAAAAGUGACCUCCUUAAAGUGCCACCCCGGUCGAAUUUUCUUUCAGGAAAAGUGCAACGCUGGGGAAAAUCUGAUAAUCUGGUAGAAAAGUUUUUCGCAGAAAAAAAUGAAAUAAACAUCGUUGUAAAACCUGCUCCGCUUCGCUCAGAGUCUAAAAUUUGAGCAGUUCAUAAGCGUAUCGGGUCCGAAUUUAUGCGAAUCAAAUUACUUUGAGCUCUGUGAAAAAUAUAUUCGAAAAUUCAACGCGUGAUUUACCAUCGUAUUUUGAAAAAAAAUCGCGCGUAAUAUUUUUAACCAAUAUAAUACAACGACAGUCGUAAAAUCGUAAAUAGCUGAGCGGCCAUCGCCGCGGUACACAAACCCGUUCGACCGCGGCCACAAAUCGCCGGGUAUUUAGACAAUCAAACUAUUAUUUUCCGGGCAUAAAACCCGUAUACGGGUAAUAUUUGUUGUUUUUUUUUUUUUUUUUUUAUAGUAUUAACGCGCGGGGAUUAUUCUCGCAUCGUAAAAACUGCUAAAACGACCGCGGUGAUAAUUAUCGCUAUACUUUCCGGUAAAGCUCUGUCGUUUCGUUACACGCUAUACCGUUUCCGGGCAUAAAACCCGUAUACGGGUAAUAUUUGUUGUUUUUUUUUUUUUUUUUUUUUUUUUCCCAAGUUAAAUGUAUAUACAUUUUUAUACCGCUGUUGUUCCGCGCGUCAUGUGGAACAGAACCAUUUCGGUCGGCCGCCGCCGCCGCUGCGGGAGGGCUCGCCAUAAUAUAAUAUCAUAAUAGUAUAUGUAUACAGAGCUAUAAAUUAACGAGGAUUUCGAGCCGGUCUCUG
Molecule: long non-coding RNA, 1621 nt
Filed under: Cinara cedri
Lineage: Eukaryota; Metazoa; Arthropoda; Insecta; Hemiptera; Aphididae
Source: RNAcentral